Molecule: ribosomal RNA, 497 nt
Filed under: uncultured bacterium
Lineage: Bacteria
Description: partial 16S ribosomal RNA
Rfam family: Bacterial small subunit ribosomal RNA
Source: RNAcentral
GAUGAACGCUGGCGGCGUGCCUAAUACAUGCGAGUCGAGCGAACGGACGAGACUCUUGCUUUUCUGAUGUUAGCGACGGACGGGUGAGUCACACGUGGAUAACCUACCUAUCAGACUGGGAUAACUUCGGGAAACCGGAGCUCAUACCGGAUAAUAUUUUGAACCGCAUGGUUCAUGAGAGAAAGACGGUCUUGCUGUCACUUAUAGAUGCAUCCGCGCUGCAUUAGCUAGUUGGUAAGGUAACGGCUUACCAAGGCAACGAUGCAUAGCCGACCUGAGAGAGUGGUCGGCCACACGGGAAGGGGGACAGCGUCCAGACUACUGCGAGAGGCAGCAGUAGGGUAUCGGACGCAGUGGUCGAAAGCCUGACGGAGCGGCGGCGCGUGAGUGGUGGAGGUGUUGGGAUCGUAAAAAUCUGUUAUGAGGUAUGAACAUAUGUGUGAGGAACUGUGGAGAUCGUGACGGUACCUGAACAGAAAGCGACGGCUAACUACGUG